Long non-coding RNA from Mesocricetus auratus (golden hamster), 962 nucleotides. RefSeq lists it as uncharacterized. Lineage: Eukaryota; Metazoa; Chordata; Mammalia; Rodentia; Cricetidae. The transcript is spliced from 2 exons. The record is from RefSeq and is a predicted model, not a curated record.
GAGACCCCUUGGAUUCAAGGAGGAUUCAGAACUGCAGGUAACUACGCUCAGAGAGGUGCCAAGCAUGUGCACUCACCCCUACCCUCAGCCCUCAUCCAACACCACUAACGCUGGAGCUAAGCAGGGCACCUGCAGAACCCACUCCAGAGAGGCCAAGAAGAAAGAGAAGGCAGCAAGACGCCAAGAAGAUUCCCACUUUAUUCUGUUCCAGGGAUUAUCCUCUUCCUAAGUGAAACUCGAAAGAACCAAGAACUGUAUAACAAGUGCACACAAGUAUACACACAUGUAUACACACAUGCACACACACGCACAAAACGGCCAUACAGAUUUCUAUAACACUGUUGGAAGGCAAAUGAGAAGGGGGUUUCACAAGCUGAAAAGUGGUUCUAAGAGGGGCAGAAAACUCCUGAGGGACAAAUUAAACGGAAUUAGACCUGGAGUUUGAGGAACUUCUGAGGGGUGUAUUUCCCCUUAAGUAUGAGCAGAGGUGCUUCAGGGACAGAGGGAGCUCUAAGGGAAGCACCAGCCACAGGGCCCUGGGAAGUUGCCAACUCCUUCCUAAGCCAAAUCCCCCACCCCACCGGAAGCUGGGUCUCCUGAGGGGCUACGGUCACACAGUCUCCUGAAUCACCACGCGGACAUUUCCAGUUCUUCUUGCUUUGUCUCUGUGACUGGUCACGUCCUGUCUUUCUGACGUUCGCCCACUCCUGCCGGGCUGGGAGCAGACUGACAGCAGGCAGCAGUACACGCUGGGGAGCACCACAGUCUUCACGAGCAAUCCCCUCUGGGGAUUCCUGCCACAGAGUACUUCGUAAGCUUCACAUGAAUUUCUCUAUAAGUACAUAUACAUGUAGGCAGUAGGGAUUCACUUCCCUCUUACUCACCGUGUCGUUUUUAUUGUCUCAGUUAGCCUCACAGUCAACAGUACUCCAAAAGCAUUAAACAGAAAAUUCUAAAACUAA